Molecule: ribosomal RNA, 731 nt
Filed under: uncultured Actinomycetes bacterium
Lineage: Bacteria; Bacillati; Actinomycetota; Actinomycetes
Description: bacterial SSU rRNA
Rfam family: Bacterial small subunit ribosomal RNA
Source: RNAcentral
UCCUACGGGAGGCAGCAGUGGGGAAUAUUGCACAAUGGGCGGAAGCCUGAUGCAGCGACGCCGCGUGAGGGAUGACGGCCUUCGGGUUGUAAACCUCUUUCAGCAGGGACGAAGCGUAAGUGACGGUACCUGCAGAAGAAGCACCGGCUAACUAUGUGCCAGCAGCCGCGGUAAUACGUAGGGUGCGAGCGUUGUCCGGAAUUACUGGGCGUAAAGAGCUCGUAGGCGGUUUGUCACGUCGUCUGUGAAAUCCUAGGGCUUAACCCUGGACGUGCAGGCGAUACGGGCUGACUUGAGUACUACAGGGGAGACUGGAAUUUCUGGUGUAGCGGUGGAAUGCACAGAUAUCAGGAAGAACACCGAUGGCGAAGGCAGGUCUCUGGGUAGUAACUGACGCUGAGGAGCGAAAGCAUGGGUAGCGAACAGGAUUAGAUACCCUGGUAGUCCAUGCCGUAAACGGUGGGCGCUAGGUGUGGGGUUCCUUCCACGGGCUCCGCGCCGUAGCUAACGCAUUAAGCGCCCCGCCUGGGGAGUACGGCCGCAAGGCUAAAACUCAAAGAAAUUGACGGGGGCCCGCACAAGCGGCGGAGCAUGUGGAUUAAUUCGAUGCAACGCGAAGAACCUUACCUGGGCUUGACAUAUAGAGGAUCGCUACAGAGAUGUGGUUUCCCUUGUGGCUUCUAUACAGGUGGUGCAUGGUUGUCGUCAGCUCGUGUCGUGAGAUGUUGGGU